RNAcentral lists this ribosomal RNA (448 nucleotides) under Geobacillus sp. G19C021. RNAcentral's name for it is "bacterial SSU rRNA". It matches the Rfam family "Bacterial small subunit ribosomal RNA", at positions 95 to 526 of the family's 1533-position model. Lineage: Bacteria; Bacillati; Bacillota; Bacilli; Caryophanales; Anoxybacillaceae. The record is from RNAcentral.
GCGGCGGACGGGUGAGUAACACGUGGGCAACCUGCCCGCAAGACCGGGAUAACUCCGGGAAACCGGAGCUAAUACCGGAUAACACCGAAGACCGCAUGGUCUUCGGUUGAAAGGCGGCCUUUGGGCUGUCACUUGCGGAUGGGCCCGCGGCGCAUUAGCUAGUUGGUGAGGUAACGGCUCACCAAGGCGACGAUGCGUAGCCGGCCUGAGAGGGUGACCGGCCACACUGGGACUGAGACACGGCCCAGACUCCUACGGGAGGCAGCAGUAGGGAAUCUUCCGCAAUGGGCGAAAGCCUGACGGAGCGACGCCGCGUGAGCGAAGAAGGCCUUCGGGUCGUAAAGCUCUGUUGUGAGGGACGAAGGAGCGCCGUUCGAAGAGGGCGGCGCGGUGACGGUACCUCACAAGAAAGCCCCGGCUAACUACGUGCCAGCAGCCGCGGUAAUAC